UACGUAGGGUGCGAGCGUUAAUCGGAAUUACUGGGCGUAAAGCGUGCGCAGGCGGUUUUGUAAGCCAGAUGUGAAAGCCCCGGGCUUAACCUGGGAAUGGCAUUUGGGACUGCAAGGCUUGAGUGCGGCAGAGGAGACUGGAAUUCCUGGUGUAGCAGUGAAAUGCGUAGAUAUCAGGAGGAACACCGGUGGCGAAGGCGGCUUUCUGGACGAUAACUGACGCUGAGACGCGAAAGCGUGGGGAGCAAACAGG
RNAcentral lists this ribosomal RNA (253 nucleotides) under uncultured bacterium. RNAcentral's name for it is "partial 16S ribosomal RNA". It matches the Rfam family "Bacterial small subunit ribosomal RNA", at positions 524 to 776 of the family's 1533-position model. The record is from RNAcentral.